This 397-nucleotide ribosomal RNA is filed under the name uncultured bacterium. Its description in RNAcentral is "bacterial SSU rRNA". It matches the Rfam family "Bacterial small subunit ribosomal RNA", at positions 358 to 772 of the family's 1533-position model. The record is from RNAcentral.
GGAAUAUUGGACAAUGGGCGAAAGCCUGAUCCAGCAAUGCCGCGUGAGUGAAGAAGGCCUUAGGGUUGUAAAGCUCUUUUACCCGGGAAGAUAAUGACUGUACCGGGAGAAUAAGCUCCGGCUAACUCCGUGCCAGCAGCCGCGGUAAUACGGAGGGAGCUAGCGUUGUUCGGAAUUACUGGGCGUAAAGCGCACGUAGGCGGCUUUGUAGGUUAGAGGUGAAAGCCCAGGGCUCAACCCUGGAAUUGCCUUUAAGACUGCAUCGCUUGAAUCAUGGAGAGGUGAGUGGAAUUCCGAGUGUAGAGGUGAAAUUCGUAGAUAUUCGGAAGAACACCAGUGGCGAAGGCGACUCACUGGACAUGUAUUGACGCUGAGGUGCGAAAGCGUGAGGAGCAAA